AUGUGUCAAGCGAAUAUGAGAGGUCGGGGUAUUUUUGCACAUAUCACCCUGACCAUACAAGAAAGGUGCCUAUUUGAAGAGAUUAGAUCUCAGAUCCAUUCCACACCCUGCGCAAAAAAAUCCUCAGAGCUUGCUAGGAGGAACCACUCCAACAUGGCUAGCGCUCCCAGCUCUUCCUCUCGUCCCCACGGCUCCGAAAAAGGUGAUUGGGAGAGAUGUUUCGUAUCUCACGGUCAGCUGACGAAGCUGCAAAAGCAGGGCUUUCUUCCCCCUGCGGAUCUAGUCCCCGUCCGAGAAGGAUCGACGUCCUUCAACGGCGGGGUUCAGGCGGAGAAUUUACACAAUCCAUCCAGGGGGAACGAGUGUGCUUCGUUCCCUACUUGCUAA
RNAcentral lists this ribosomal RNA (387 nucleotides) under Triticum aestivum (bread wheat). RNAcentral's name for it is "partial small subunit ribosomal RNA". Lineage: Eukaryota; Viridiplantae; Streptophyta; Magnoliopsida; Poales; Poaceae. The record is from RNAcentral.